This 222-nucleotide ribosomal RNA is filed under the name Vibrio parahaemolyticus. Its description in RNAcentral is "partial 16S ribosomal RNA". It matches the Rfam family "Bacterial small subunit ribosomal RNA", at positions 1321 to 1533 of the family's 1533-position model. Lineage: Bacteria; Pseudomonadati; Pseudomonadota; Gammaproteobacteria; Vibrionales; Vibrionaceae. The record is from RNAcentral.
UGAAGUCGGAAUCGCUAGUAAUCGUGGAUCAGAAUGCCACGGUGAAUACGUUCCCGGGCCUUGUACACACCGCCCGUCACACCAUGGGAGUGGGCUGCAAAAGAAGUAGGUAGUUUAACCUUCGGGGGGACGCUUACCACUUUGUGGUUCAUGACUGGGGUGAAGUCGUAACAAGGUAGCGCUAGGGGAACCUGGCGCUGGAUCACCUCCUUAAACGAUGAU